UACUGCCAUGAUAGGGUAGAACAGAGCGGAUUAUUAAGUGCUGCGUCACAGGAAGUUUGGGCGGCCAUUUUAUUUCCUGGCUGAUAACUCUAGCAGCCAACUUGUCAGAGACAGACUGGAAGAUGAAUAGGAAAGGACCUGGGCAGAGAUGAAUAAUAAAAGCAACAAUAACUACAGUUGCCCCAGGAAUGACAGCUGGUAAUAAUGUUAUUUGCAAGAUUUCGGAGGCAGCCGAUAAAUCCACUGAACUGAAGUGCAGGAUGGAGGGAAGGUAGAACGUGUUUCACACCUCCAAGUUGCAGAGGAGUUCCUGUGGAAACUUCACAAGAUGAUCGAUCAUGGAGAGGCUGCCGAAUGCCAUCUGCUUCAUUCGCAAGGGCAUCUGAACAAUGAUCAAGGAUCAUCUUCACUUUCUGAGCCAAAAUACAGAAAUCAUUAAAGAGCUUAAAAAACCGUUUAGUAAAUAUGACAUCUUUAUGGUAUAGUGACAGUAUAGGUGUGUGUAAAGAAUGGUAAAUAAAUACUGGUGCCUAAUGAA
This is a long non-coding RNA of Xenopus tropicalis (tropical clawed frog), 538 nucleotides long. RefSeq lists it as uncharacterized. The record is from RefSeq and is a predicted model, not a curated record. The transcript has 4 exons. NCBI's taxonomy places the organism in Eukaryota, Metazoa, Chordata, Amphibia, Anura, Pipidae.